RNAcentral lists this ribosomal RNA (435 nucleotides) under Corynebacterium matruchotii. RNAcentral's name for it is "bacterial SSU rRNA". It matches the Rfam family "Bacterial small subunit ribosomal RNA", at positions 28 to 456 of the family's 1533-position model. The record is from RNAcentral. Lineage: Bacteria; Bacillati; Actinomycetota; Actinomycetes; Mycobacteriales; Corynebacteriaceae.
GACGAACGCUGGCGGCGUGCUUAACACAUGCAAGUCGAACGGAAAGGCCCCCACCUUGGUGGGGGUGCUCGAGUGGCGAACGGGUGAGUAACACGUGGGUGAUCUGCCCUGUACUUCGGGAUAAGCUUGGGAGACUGGGUCUAAUACCGGAUAGGACCAUGGUUUAGUGUCUCAUGGUGGAAAAAUUAUUGUUUUGGUGCAGGAUGAGCUCGCGGCCUAUCAGCUUGUUGGUGGGGUAAUGGCCUACCAAGGCGUCGACGGGUAGCCGGCCUGAGAGGGUGGACGGCCACAUUGGGACUGAGAUACGGCCCAGACUCCUACGGGAGGCAGCAGUGGGGAAUAUUGCACAAUGGGCGCAAGCCUGAUGCAGCGACGCCGCGUGGGGGAUGACGGCCUUCGGGUUGUAAACUCCUUUCGUUAGGGACGAAGCCAUAC